GCCGUCGUAGCUCAGCUGGCAGAGCGUCCCGCUCGUAACGGGAAGGCCGCGAGUUCGAUCCUCGCCGUCGGCUCCA
RNAcentral lists this transfer RNA (76 nucleotides) under Microbacterium sp. RNAcentral's name for it is "tRNA-Thr". It matches the Rfam family "tRNA". Rfam says of the family: Transfer RNA (tRNA) molecules are approximately 80 nucleotides in length. The record is from RNAcentral. Lineage: Bacteria; Bacillati; Actinomycetota; Actinomycetes; Micrococcales; Microbacteriaceae.